Molecule: transfer RNA, 74 nt
Filed under: Loxodonta africana (African savanna elephant)
Lineage: Eukaryota; Metazoa; Chordata; Mammalia; Proboscidea; Elephantidae
Rfam family: tRNA
About the family: Transfer RNA (tRNA) molecules are approximately 80 nucleotides in length. Their secondary structure includes four short double-helical elements and three loops (D, anti-codon, and T loops).
Source: Rfam by way of RNAcentral
GCCCUGGUGGCACAAUGGUUAAGUGUGCUUGGUUGCUAACCAAAAGGUUGGUGGCUCAAACCUACCCAGCAGCU